This is a long non-coding RNA of Carya illinoinensis, 1419 nucleotides long. RefSeq lists it as uncharacterized. The record is from RefSeq and is a predicted model, not a curated record. Lineage: Eukaryota; Viridiplantae; Streptophyta; Magnoliopsida; Fagales; Juglandaceae. The transcript has 2 exons.
CUUUCCCCCCCUUUCUAUUUUCUCUUUUGUUUUAUUUUUUCGAUAAUUUUCAGAUUUUGAUUCUGUGCUCUUAAUCUGUGAACCAUUUUGUGGGCAAUGCCAGAUCUUAUCUGGGUAUGAGUAUUCAUAUUUGUCUUCUUCUUUUUCCUGGUUUUUGGCUGGCAUGAGUUCCGGUGAAUCUGAAGUUGUUUAGAGAUAGUUUGGGGUCAUUUUCCAGCCCUUGAUGUUGUUAAUUUAGCUCGUUCAUUUGUUUAUCUUUUCUUUCUUCUUUGGAAUAGCAUGAUAAGGCAAAGUGUGAUAAUUUAGCUUAACAACAUUACACCGCACGUAGUUACGUGGCAAACCGGGUCUGAAGAGAAAUUCAUAAACCGGACAAAAGAGAAUAGGGACAAAAGGGUCUGGGUCUGCCUGUUCUCCCCCCUGUCGAAAAGGCUCUCUCUCUCUCUCUCCGCCUUGUUCUUCCGUCUAUAAAUCUUGAAGAUGAAUCCCAUCCUUGAUCGUCUGCGGUCUUGAAAAAAACCAAAACAAUAUACCCACAGAACAAAAACGAAAUUCUACAUUCUCUCUCGCUUUGCCUUCUCUGCAAGUUUAUAUACAUACAAACAAAUUACAUUCCCGCAAAGGCUGGAGAAGGAUACACAGAAUAAAUUACAUUCUCAAAUUAUUUUGGAUUGAAUAUCUCCUUUUGUGGAAAAGAUUAGGGCUGGGUUAGCUGAAAAGGGGAUAAAAGAGUUUAUUCUAGUUGAGAAAAGGGAUUUUUUUAUGUUCCUAGAAAAAGAAGAAAAUGAUUGGAUACUUUGUCUCGGGUGGGAGAUUUGGAAAGAGGCACAAGAGGUUAUUCUGAUGUUUAUUUAAAAAAAAAUACAGAUGCAGCAGCGAGUUCUUUAGUUGCAGACCCAAAUAUCUUCUUAUAGUUUGUGGGUAUAUGGCCUUGUGUUUCUCCUCCAUGUACUUGGCUAUGGCGUAUGGGCUGGACCCACUUUUCUUAUUCAGAGCUAACAGAGCAUCCUUGAUAAUCUGAAAGUGUGGAGUAUGAGCAGCAUUUUUUGGUUGUUUCGGCUUCUACUUGUUGGAGACCUCGACUCUCUUUACUUAACAGGUUUGGAAGACCACAAAGUGGAAGAAGAUGCAGGCGGGAUAAAAUAAAUUAAGUUAAAUUAAAAGAUGUGUGGGACCCAUUGUCAGGGUGUGCAGUGUAGGGAGACGAGUAGAAGAAGUCUUUCCUGGUUUUUGGCUGGCAUGAGUUCCGGUGAAUCUGAAGUAGUUUAGAUAUAGUUUGGGGGACUUAUUUGAGACAGUCAGUCUCCAACAAGUAGAGAGAGAGAGAGAAGUGAGAAGAGAGAUAGAGACCGAGAGACAGAGACGUGAAUGAAUGAAUGAAGUUCUAAAUGAGUUCUUCCUCUGGGCUCAUACUUUUUA